This 1009-nucleotide long non-coding RNA is filed under the name Setaria italica (foxtail millet). Its description in RNAcentral is "long non-coding RNA (SITA_LNC002927)". The record is from RNAcentral. Lineage: Eukaryota; Viridiplantae; Streptophyta; Magnoliopsida; Poales; Poaceae.
AGGUGUCCCUGCAGGAAGUAGAAGACGAGGUCGCCGAUGUGCACCCUCUCCAUGGAUCGAUGGGGAAGGCCGGAGUCGGGGCCCCGCCGCCCUGGCGCCCCUGUCAAGCCCGCUCUUCAAGUCGGCGGGGCCGAUGGGGCGAACCAGCUCCGCGAGCUGCGGCUCGGCGCAUCACACGUGCCAGGGACACCGCCGCGGACGCGGCCGCCGUGUUGUCCUCCUCGAUGCAGUCGGACGUGGCGACCACGCGCACGGCAGCCUCCGUUGCCUCGAGGCCCCUCUCGUCCUCAUCCUUCUCCGUCCGCCAGAACACGUGCCCCCCGGAGACAGGGGCGCGGCCGCCGGGCACCGGCGCAGAUCAAGGCCGGGUCGGCUCGGACCGCCGGAGUCGCGGCGCGGCCGCCGUCGCCGCCGCUGAUCCACGCCGCCUCCCGCGCGGGGGCCCCGAGGCCGAGGUGGAGCAGGCGCGAUGGACCGCCUCCUGCUCUCCCGCCCACCGCUCCCCGUCCCCACCCACGCCGCUGCAGGCGCCGACGGCGACCUCCUCGAGCUCGACGUCCUCUAGCCCUCCAGCGCCUCCGCCUCAUCCGCGAUAGGGCUCGGCCUCCUCACCGCGCUCCCGGAGGACGAGGGCAAGAAGAAGAAACACUCUGUGGGCGGGGGCCCCGCCCAAUCCGAAAAAAUGGGCGGAGAAGGAGGCACGGCAGUGGCGAACGGAUGAAAGAAACGGAAGAGGAGGUGGACGGGAGGAGUCGCGAAGAGGGAGACAGACGGUUCUCGCGGAGGAGCACUGGCAGCGGACGGGAGGAGACGGAGCCUGGCGGUAGGAAGGAAGCCGUGGCCGCGCCGCCGCAGCAGGCUAGGCGCGCCGGCCAGGGCAGAGGCGCCUGCUAGCAAGCGGGCGUCGGAAGGGAGAGAGAGAGGAAGGGAUGGGAGGGAGGCGUGCAGGGGGCGGACGGGAGGAGAUAGAGCCUAUGACAGGUGGGAUCUACGACGGACGAAAAAAAAU